Molecule: long non-coding RNA, 133 nt
Organism: Sinocyclocheilus anshuiensis
Lineage: Eukaryota; Metazoa; Chordata; Actinopteri; Cypriniformes; Cyprinidae
Exons: 3
Source: RefSeq, a predicted model, not a curated record
GUCUGACGCAACAGGUUAGUAUUUAUAAACAGUUUUAUUUGCUCACAAAGAGUACGGGUGUAGGGUCCAGAUGAUGUGAUGGUGACGAUGAUGAUGAUGUGAUGGUGAGUGAAUAGUUCGUAGAACAGUUCAA